Molecule: ribosomal RNA, 193 nt
Filed under: uncultured bacterium
Lineage: Bacteria
Description: partial 16S ribosomal RNA
Rfam family: Bacterial small subunit ribosomal RNA
Source: RNAcentral
CCUACGGGAGGCAGCAGUGGGGAAUAUUGGACAAUGGGCGAAAGCCUGAUCCAGCCAUGCCGCGUGUGUGAAGAAGGUCUUCGGAUUGUAAAGCACUUUAAGUUGGGAGGAAGGGCAUUAACCUAAUACGUUAGUGUUUUGACGUUACCGACAGAAUAAGCACCGGCUAACUUCGUGCCAGCAGCCGCGUAAU